This 253-nucleotide ribosomal RNA is filed under the name uncultured bacterium. RNAcentral's name for it is "partial 16S ribosomal RNA". It matches the Rfam family "Bacterial small subunit ribosomal RNA", at positions 524 to 776 of the family's 1533-position model. The record is from RNAcentral.
UACGUAGGUGGCAAGCGAUACUCGGAAUCACUAGGCGUAAAGCGCAGGUAGGCGGUUCGGUAAGUCUCUUGUGAAAGCUCCCGGCUCAACUGGGAGAGGUCAAGGGAAACUGCUGGACUAGAGUAUGGUAGGGGAGACUGGAAUUCCUGGUGUAGCGGUGAAAUGCGUAGAUAUCAGGAGGAAUACCUAUGGCGAAAGCAGGUCUCUGGGCCAUUACUAACGCUGAGCUGCGAAAGCUAGGGGAGCAAACAGG